CAGUACCAAUCUCGGGGGAAUUCCAAAAUACAUCUUACUUUUGCAAUGGUGAAAUCUACCCACCCGACCAGGCGACUUGCUACCAUAUCAGUGCUCAGCCAACGACAUGGCAGGAUGCGUUUGAUUACUGCCACAAGCGGGGAGGGUGGCUGAUGAACGGACUGGAUGAUAUUCCUAGCCUUAUUGACGUUCGUGUAUUAGUGGAAAACAAGUUGCUGACUGUUUGGUCUGGUACCCAUAUAGAUGAAUAUCGUCUUUUGGCCGACAACUUCACGGCUCCCUAUAGG
Physella acuta is the source of this 287-nucleotide long non-coding RNA. RefSeq lists it as uncharacterized. NCBI's taxonomy places the organism in Eukaryota, Metazoa, Mollusca, Gastropoda, Physidae. The record is from RefSeq and is a predicted model, not a curated record.